UUUAGUUCAUCCACUAAUGGUCGAAGGUACACAUUAAGGUCUUUUGUAGGACUUUUAUCCCCCGGAAUGAGUAAAGUCAAAAACAAAUACGGAUCCCUCAUGCACAUUAUCGGUGGAAGAUUAUAAGCAACCAUAAUGACUGGCCAAAUUGAGUACGGCUGGCUAAAAUUAUUAAAAGGGCAAAAGCCAUCAGUAGCCAUGCCAAACCUAACAUUCCUAACUUCUUCCGCAAACUCAUGAUAAUUUACAUCAAAUCUCUUCCAUUCAUCUCCAUUCGAUGGGUGAGUCAGCUGACCAGGCACGACAUCCCUUGUUCGAUGCUAACUCAUAUGUUGAGCCGUAUGAGAUGACAUGAAUAGCCGCUGAAGUCUCGGCGCAAGUGGAAAGUACCGUAAGAUUUUCCUGGGAACAUGUUUCUCCUUCCCCCACGUUUUGUAACCUUGUAGUGCGAUAAGCUGCAUAUAUCACACUGUCCCUUAUCUCUGUCCUCCCCAUAGUAUAACAUGUAAUCCUUCUCAAAAGCAUCGAUUUUCUGAUACCCCAUAUUUAAC
This 551-nucleotide long non-coding RNA is filed under the name Panax ginseng (ginseng). RNAcentral's name for it is "long non-coding RNA (PGIN_LNC019167)". The record is from RNAcentral. Lineage: Eukaryota; Viridiplantae; Streptophyta; Magnoliopsida; Apiales; Araliaceae.